GCAGAGAUCCCCAGCAGCUGGCAGAGUAGGACACAUCUCACUAUGGAGAUGCCCCUGGGCCCCGCCCUGUCCUGGCUGAGGAGGGAGCUGACUGAGAUGAGACUACAAGACCAGAGGUUGCUGGCACAGUUGAAAGACCUGCAUGCCAGGAUCCAGGAGUUCAGGUUUGAAUCUGUGUACUGGUCAAGUGCUCAUCCGAUCCAGGAGUCACAUGGAAACAGGGGUCGUUCCACAUCAGAGGACAUGGGCAUAGCUGCUCACAAGGAAGAUGAAUGCCCAUCUGCUCUGCAGAUUGUUCUUAGGAGAAAUUCUGCACCAUGAUAUUAAUUUAGCAACUAGAAUUUUUAUUUGUGUCUACUUUUCAAUAAAGCUUCCUCUGCAUCUCUAUGCUGCGCAGGAUACUUUUGUAUAGUAAUGUCUUUAUAAAUGUAUUUUAUGGCAUACCAAGUUCUUCAUGUCUUGGAUCAUUGGCAUUUCUGCUAGACUGUUUUCUAAUACAAAAAGCUGUGUGGCGUCACUAGGGGUGACCCCAAAACGCCGGUUCAUCUUAAGUGCAGUCAGACAAGCUUCCGGGGGAAGCCCAGCAUCACCGGGGACGCUGGGCAUGCCCCCAGAGUGAUGAAAAGGGGGUCAGGAUGUGUGGCCACAACCCCUUCACACGAUGUAACCCCCUUUCCCUACAAAAUUCCAAUAGAUUCUUCCUCUAACAUACAAUAUGACAAUUUCCUUAGAGGGACUACUCAUGAAGUACUGCUAAGUUAGUAUCCAACUUGCUGCAAGUAGCAGUGGUGAAUACUAAAACACAGGAACAAUUGAACAUUGCUCCAGUGCAGAGACAGGUGAUCCGAAGAUCAGCUAUUCUCUCCUGCCGGGAUCCUGUACCCAACCCCUCAGUCCCUAUCAUAGCUACUUCAGUAGCUGUGACACUUAGCACUGCUGAUACUAACUCGCAAAGAGCUAGUGCCCUUGUGUGAACUGGGGUAACAUGCGUAUAAAGCUCUAGAUGGCCAGUAGAAGGAGCCGAACAGAGCCGGGGGGUGGGGGUGGGGGGGGGGUGUCCCAAAGGAUCCCUUUUUGUAACCUGUAACUCCAUCCUAUAGGAAAGAGCAGGGUUUCAGGAACUAAUUCCAUCUGAAUAUGGUAUAGGAGUAUUUUCAGAGCUUGAUGAAUUUUGGUCCCUAUACAAUAGUAUGGGACAACAGGCCAAAUCGGGACUGAAAAGUAAGCAGGAGAUAUCCGUGAUAUCUCCUAUAUUACCUUAAUAAUGAAUGUCCUGGAUACUUAACUUCUACUGUAGUAGAUGAGAAUUUUAAUUUUCACCUACUUAUGUAGAAAUCAAGGGAUAAUGAAUAGACCACAAAGUCAUAUAGUCAGUGUCUUGUUUUACAGGAUUUAAUCCUUCUAUAUUACUUGAAACCUUUGCUGCUCCAUAAUGAUAUAUAGUAGUGAAGGCCUAUUUAAUAAAAGUCGUUUAUAUAUCUUAGAAGUUAAAGUCUCCAAUGCACAAGGAAUCCCAAGGAGAGAGGAAAAGAAAAUAGUUGUAGACUUGCCAAACUAUCCCUUUAAACCGGGACACUCGUGAAUUAGGCAGAUUCUGUGGCUGAUUGUAACCAGCUGGAAUGCAGACUUGAAGUCAGCCAACCACAGAACUUGUUUAAUUCAUGAGUGUCCCGGUUUAAAGGACUUUUAUGGUAAGCCUAAUAUAGCAUUAACCUGUGUCAUACUGAAAGCCAGAGUCACAAUCUUGUAGCCUUUAGAUCAGGGAGCACUGUUCUCAGUAUUACAUGUUGUAAAACGCUGUGUAAAAAUGUAAAAAAAUAAAUAAAUGUAUAGUUCACACUUUGUGAACAAAAAAUUCAAUAGUAAUUUACUGUGAAUGUUUGAAACAUAACUUCAGAUCUCAGUGUACUUAUAUUAUUUUCCAACUUGUGAUAAUGGGGCAGAUGUAUUAAGCCUGGAGAAGUGAUAAAGCAGUGAUAAGUGGAAGAUGAUAACGCACCAGCCAGUCAGCUCUUAACUGUCAAUUUACAUAUUGGAGCUGAUUGGCUGGUGCGUUAUCACCUUGCACUUAUCACUGCUUUAUCACUUCUACAUGCUUAAUGCAUCUGCCCGUCUGGGAGAAAAAAAACGGCUUAUUUAGCAAUAUACACCACUGUUACUUGUAAAAUAAAAAAUAAAAUUUUUGUGAGUUACAUUU
Molecule: long non-coding RNA, 2197 nt
Organism: Pseudophryne corroboree (corroboree frog)
Lineage: Eukaryota; Metazoa; Chordata; Amphibia; Anura; Myobatrachidae
Exons: 2
Source: RefSeq, a predicted model, not a curated record